UUUUUUUAGACAAUAGUAGAGUGAGAUAGGGGUCAAGGGGUGGUCGUAGGAAUAGGUAGGUGUACCCAGUAGAAGAGGUUAAUCGUCGGCCACCUACUUCUACAGUGGCGAUCGGUAGUGGCUUGAUUAAGGGUUCGGUAAGGCUUAGGUGAAGAGCUAAGUAAAGAAGGUUAAAGAGGAGCAACUCCAUGACGCCGUCAACUGGCACACACGCCUCACGCACCUGCGCAAACAGCGCAAGACCUCCUACACCUACGAGCUGCUGCAGCAGCUCAGACCGUCCCACCGGUACCCCUCCUCGUCCCUUUUGUGUUUUCGAUGUGACGAGUUGGAGAACCUACCAGCUACCGAUCUCCCGGCACCGACUCCACAACAGCGAACCGGAGCACCUCCUCGGAUAGUCCCUUUAGUGGCUUAGUGGGUGACUCCAACUAACAACCAAGACCUUGUACUCCAUGCCCUGUCUCCGACCGGAACGACGAUAACAGGAGGCACUCUACGAGCGGAGGAGUAACAACAACGAUAGUCUGAUGAUGGUUUA
Molecule: ribosomal RNA, 541 nt
Filed under: Triticum aestivum (bread wheat)
Lineage: Eukaryota; Viridiplantae; Streptophyta; Magnoliopsida; Poales; Poaceae
Description: partial small subunit ribosomal RNA
Source: RNAcentral